GGGUCAGUAGGUUGGUCGUGCCACCGGUACGUACUGGUCUCACUGAUUCCUCCUUCCUGAAGAACCUUAAUGCCAUUAAUUUGGUGUUGCGGGGAAACAGGACUGUUACUUUGAAAAAAUUAGAGUGCUUAAAGCAAGCUAACGCUUGAAUACAUUAGCAUGGAAUAAUGAAAUAGGACGAUCGAUCCUAUUUUGUUGGUUUCUAGGAUUGACGUA
Molecule: ribosomal RNA, 216 nt
Filed under: Glomeromycotina sp.
Lineage: Eukaryota; Fungi; Glomeromycota
Description: partial small subunit ribosomal RNA
Rfam family: Eukaryotic small subunit ribosomal RNA (bases 40-216)
Source: RNAcentral